Molecule: transfer RNA, 71 nt
Filed under: Aeromicrobium sp.
Lineage: Bacteria; Bacillati; Actinomycetota; Actinomycetes; Propionibacteriales; Nocardioidaceae
Description: tRNA-Gly
Rfam family: tRNA
About the family: Transfer RNA (tRNA) molecules are approximately 80 nucleotides in length.
Source: RNAcentral
GCCGGCGUAGCUCAAUGGCAGAGCGCUUGCUUCCCAAGCAAGAUACGCGGGUCCGAUUCCCGUCGCCGGCU